Molecule: long non-coding RNA, 886 nt
Organism: Bufo bufo (common toad)
Lineage: Eukaryota; Metazoa; Chordata; Amphibia; Anura; Bufonidae
Exons: 2
Source: RefSeq, a predicted model, not a curated record
UACAUUCUAAUACUGUACAGUAUUAGAACGAAGUCGAAGUAUUUCAUCCGAAGUCUAUUCGCUCAUCCCUAUGAUCGCCCCGAAAGGGAUUUAAUUUUAUUUCUGAUUGAUUACAACCAGUUCCUUUUUGUAUCCAGCUCAUGGGCCCCAAAACACAAUAGGUCACAGGGGCCCCUUUUUUCUAUCCGGUGCAUGGACCCCAAAGUAGAAUAGGUCCCAGGGGCCCCUUUAAACCUAAGAGGUGCAAAAUGUAAAUCCCACAAAUCCCCAGUAGCUUUAAGCCCUCAUCUAGCAAGCAAUUCAAGCUUCGAUUCAACCAUUUUUUUUUGUUUGUUUUAUCAGUUUCUAGGAAAGUUGGGUGACAUCACCGCUUGCACUGGUUGUUAAUAUGUACUCGCGUAGCAUUAAAGGGAUUGUCCAGAAACAGCGCUACACACCCACCUGCAGGUUAUUUGGGGCAUUGCGCUCAAUAGAGUUGGCAUACAAUACCCGGCACAACCUGCAGCUGGGAGUGGCGCUGUUUUACCAAAGUAAACAGCCAUAUUUUUUUUUUUUUACGGAACCUGGAGAACUGGACAAGUUAGACAUUCAGGAUCCUGGAAAAGCUGGGUGAAAUUUAAAUAUUUAAACAACUUGCCAGAUGAGGACCCCUUAAAGAUGUGGGGCGUCUGGGAUAUUGUUAAAGGGGAAAUGCUCUUUAGUUUGUUUACAAAGGACUGCUAGGAAGAGGACAAAGGGGGGCAGCAGACCUCAGAGAAAGGCGACACCCGCCCCCGACUUUCAAUGAAGGGUUGUCAGAUUAUGAGUAAUCCAAAGAAAGGAAUAGGGAAGGGGGGGGGGGGGGCGCUUCCUCAUUUUUGAAAGGUCACAUAUUCUCCUUUCUAGU